RNAcentral lists this ribosomal RNA (694 nucleotides) under uncultured bacterium. Its description in RNAcentral is "bacterial SSU rRNA". It matches the Rfam family "Bacterial small subunit ribosomal RNA", at positions 32 to 715 of the family's 1533-position model. The record is from RNAcentral.
AACGCUAGCUACAGGCUUAACACAUGCAAGUCGAGGGGUAACGAGAGGAAAGCUUGCUUUCCUUGUCGACGACCGGCGCACGGGUGAGUAACGCGUAUCCAACCUGCCCCCAACUAGGGAAUAACCUUGCGAAAGUAAGACUAAUACCCUAUAAUUUCCUCAGAUGUCAUCUGACGAGGAAUAAAGAUUUAUCGGUUGUGGAUGGGGAUGCGUCUGAUUAGCUUGUUGGCGGGGUAACGGCCCACCAAGGCAACGAUCAGUAGGGGUUCUGAGAGGAAGGUCCCCCACAUUGGAACUGAGACACGGUCCAAACUCCUACGGGAGGCAGCAGUGAGGAAUAUUGGUCAAUGGGCGGAAGCCUGAACCAGCCAAGUAGCGUGCAGGAUGACGGCCCUAUGGGUUGUAAACCGCUUUUAUACAGGAAUAAAGUUAGCCACGUGUGGUUAUUUGUAGGUACUGUAUGAAUAAGGACCGGCUAAUUCCGUGCCAGCAGCCGCGGUAAUACGGAAGGUCCAGGCGUUAUCCGGAUUUAUUGGGUUUAAAGGGAGCGUAGGCCGUCUGUUAAGCGUGUUGUGAAAUGUAGAUGCUCAACAUCUGAAUUGCAGCGCGAACUGGCAGACUUGAGUGUGCGCAACGUAGGCGGAAUUCGUGGUGUAGCGGUGAAAUGCUUAGAUAUCACGAAGAACUCCGAUUG